UUAGAGUUUGAUCCUGGCUCAGAUUGAACGCUGGCGGAAUGCUUUACACAUGCAAGUCGAGCGGCAGCGCGGGGCAACCUGGCGGCGAGCGGCGAACGGGUGAGUAAUGCAUCGGAACAUGUCCAUUCGUGGGGGAUAACCCGGCGAAAGCCGGAUUAAUACCGCAUACGCCCCGAGGGGGAAAGCGGGGGACUUCGCAAGAGGCCUCGCGCGAAUGGGUUGGCCGAUGUCCGAUUAGCUAGUUGGUGGGGUAAAGGCUUWCCAAGGCGAUGAUCGGUAGCUGGUCUGAGAAGAUGAUCAGCCACMCUGGGASUGGGACACGSCCCAGACUCCUACGGGAGGCAGCAGUGGGGAAUUUUGGACAAUGGGGGCAACCCUGAUCCAGCCAUUCCGCGUGAGUGAAGAAGSCCUUCGGGUUGUAAAGCUCCUUUGUCCGGAACGAAACGGUUAGCGUGAAUAUCGCUGACUACUGACGGUACCGGAAGAAUAAGRACCGGCUAACUACGUGCCAGCAGCCGCGGUAAUAC
RNAcentral lists this ribosomal RNA (527 nucleotides) under uncultured Rhodocyclaceae bacterium. RNAcentral describes it as "bacterial SSU rRNA". It matches the Rfam family "Bacterial small subunit ribosomal RNA", at positions 1 to 526 of the family's 1533-position model. Lineage: Bacteria; Pseudomonadati; Pseudomonadota; Betaproteobacteria; Rhodocyclales; Rhodocyclaceae. The record is from RNAcentral.